Molecule: long non-coding RNA, 542 nt
Filed under: Salmo salar (Atlantic salmon)
Lineage: Eukaryota; Metazoa; Chordata; Actinopteri; Salmoniformes; Salmonidae
Description: lncRNA (ENSSSAG00000117334.1)
Source: RNAcentral
UAUAUACAGGGUGUUACGGUACAGAGUCAAUGUGGAGGCUAUAUACAGGGGGUACCGGUACAGAGUCAAUGUGGAGGCUAUAUACAGGGGGGUACCGGUACAGAGUCAAUGUGGAGGCUAUAUACAGGGGGUACCGGUACAGAGUCAAUGUGGAGGCUAUAUACAGGGGGUACCGGUACAGAGUCAAUGUGGAGGCUAUAUACAGGGGGUACCGUUACAGAGUCAAUGUGGAGGCUAUAUACAGGGGGUACCGGUACAGAGUCAAUGUGGAGGCUAUAUACAGGGGGUACCGGUACAGAGUCAAUGUGGAGGCUAUAUACAGGGGGUACCGGUACAGAGUCAAUAUGGAGGCUAUAUACAGGGGGUACCGGUACAGAGUCAAUGUGGAGGCUAUAAACAGGGGGUACCGGUACAGAGUCAAUGUGGAGGCUUUAUACAGGGGGUACCGGUACAGAGUCAAUGUGGAGGCUAUAUACAGGGGGUACCGGUACAGAGUCAAUGUGGAGGCUAUAUACAGGGGGUACCGGUACAGAGUCAAUGUG